RNAcentral lists this ribosomal RNA (115 nucleotides) under Ursus maritimus (polar bear). Lineage: Eukaryota; Metazoa; Chordata; Mammalia; Carnivora; Ursidae. The record is from RNAcentral.
GUCUACGGCCAUACCACCCUGAACGCGCCUGAUCUCAUGUCUGAUCUCGGAAGCUAAGCAGGGUCGGGCCUGGUUAUACUUGGAUGGGAGACCGAACAGCAUGUCGAAAUUGAAC